CCUACGGGAGGCAGCAGUGAGGAAUAUUGGUCAAUGGGCUUACGCCUGAACCAGCCAAGUCGCGUGAGGGAAGACUGCCCUAUGGGUUGUAAACUGCUUUUGUACGAGGGUAAACGCAGAUACGCGUAUCUGUCUGAAAGUAUCGUACGAAUAAGGAUCGGCUAACUCCGUGCCAGCAGCCGCGGUAAUACGGAGGAUUCAAGCGUUAUCCGGAUUUAUUGGGUUUAAAGGGUGCGUAGGCGGUCUGAUAAGUUAGAGGUGAAAUUCCGGGGCUCAACUUCGGAAUUGCCUCUGAUACGGUUCGGCUAGAGAGUAGUGGCGGUAGGCGGAAUGGGUGGUGUAGCGGUGAAAUGCUUAGAGAUCAUACAGAACACCGAUUGCGAAGGCAGCUUACCAAGCUACUUCUGACGCUGAGGCACGAAAGCGUGGGGAGCAAACAGGAUUAGAUACCCCGGUAGUC
This 460-nucleotide ribosomal RNA is filed under the name uncultured bacterium. RNAcentral describes it as "partial 16S ribosomal RNA". It matches the Rfam family "Bacterial small subunit ribosomal RNA", at positions 338 to 795 of the family's 1533-position model. The record is from RNAcentral.